This 506-nucleotide ribosomal RNA is filed under the name uncultured bacterium. Its description in RNAcentral is "partial 16S ribosomal RNA". It matches the Rfam family "Bacterial small subunit ribosomal RNA", at positions 28 to 523 of the family's 1533-position model. The record is from RNAcentral.
GAUGAACGCUAGCUACAGGCUUAACACAUGCAAGUCGAGGGGUAACGAGAGGAAAGCUUGCUUUCCUUGUCGACGACCGGCGCACGGGUGAGUAACGCGUAUCCAACCUGCCCCCAACUAGGGAAUAACCUUGCGAAAGUAAGACUAAUACCCUAUAAUUUCCUCAGAUGUCAUCUGACGAGGAAUAAAGAUUUAUCGGUUGUGGAUGGGGAUGCGUCUGAUUAGCUUGUUGGCGGGGUAACGGCACACCAAGGCAACGAUCAGUAGGGGCUCUGAGAGGAAGGUCCCCCACAUUGGAACUGCGACACGGUCCAAACUCCUACGGGAGGCAGCAGUGAGGAAUAUUGGUCAAUGGGCGGAAGCCUGAACCAGCCAAGUAGCGUGCAGGAUGACGGCCCUAUGGGUUGUAAACUGCUUUUAUACAGGAAUAAAGUUAGCCACGUGUGGUUAUUUGUAGGUACUGUAUGAAUAAGGACCGGCUAAUUCCGUGCCAGCAGCCGCCGUAA